Molecule: long non-coding RNA, 3279 nt
Organism: Arachis duranensis
Lineage: Eukaryota; Viridiplantae; Streptophyta; Magnoliopsida; Fabales; Fabaceae
Exons: 2
Source: RefSeq, a predicted model, not a curated record
AAAACACCAUUCUCUUCUUCUUUUCCUUCUUCAAUAGCUUCAUAAAAUCCUAUCUUCUUCUUUCUCUUAUUGUUCUUCUUCUCUUCAAUUAUCAAAGCCAAGCUUGAUCUCCACCCUUCAGACCUCAACGCCUUUGGAACUCUCCAAAGAGAUCUUGGUCUCAAUGCACUUUUAGUCAACGGUCAAGGCUUCCACCCAUGCACCAUCGAUGGUGUGUGCUGCGACACCGCCACAGCCACCUACGCCUUGUUUUCACCCCCAAGAAUUUCAAUGGAACCCUCUCUUCCGCCAUUGGACACCUCACUGAGCUUAAAGAACUCUCUUUAUCUGAUAACCACCUCGUUGACCGCAUCCCAAACUCCAUAGUCAACCUCAAGAAGCUCGAAAUCCUCAACCUCCGUGGCAACGGCUUCUCUGGCGAAGUCCCGCCUCACCUUUCUUCGCUUGCAAGGCUCCGAGUCCUCGAUGUCUCCUCCAACAAACUCUCCGGCAACCUCAACUUCCUCAAGUAUUUUCCGAAUUUGGAAAAGCUAAACGUCGCCGACAACCUCUUUGUUGGUCGUAUCCCGGUUUCUAUUCGCUCGUUUUGGAACCUCAGACACUUUAACUUCUCCGGCAAUAGUUUUCUCGAAUGCUUGACGCAAUAAUUUGAGAGUUUGGAGCUCAUAGCAUCUAACAUCAGAGUUUGAAGUGGAAAAGGAGAGAUCCAUUAAUGAUCAAAGUCAAAGAUCAAUGAUUGUUGAGUUCACUUGUUAGGUAAUACGAUUUGUCAAAAUUAUUACUAUAAAUAAAAUAAAUUUUUUGAUAAUGGAGAUUUAUUGGAGGUGGAGGUUUCGAGCCCUCUUGCUCAUCACGGAUGUCACGGAAGACCGUGCUAACGUUUAAGUGUGGGAAGGUCGGUGAUCGUCUUCCGUAAGUAACAACUCUUCUCUCUAGCACCUAGAUCUUAAUUUCUUGUGUUAGUUAAUUAGGAUAAUUUAUAUUCUAUAGUUAGUUAUUUGCAUUUAAGUGUGUAAAAUUCAUUUUUAAGUGUUUUUUGCAUGAUAUAUAGUUGCUUGUAAAUAUCUCUAGAGCUUUGUACAUAUUUUGUUUAUCCUUGUUGAGUGAUUGGAUGUAUAUGAAUUAGAUGAAUUAUUUUUCAUUCAACCACUUCUUACUAGGACUACUUGGUUGAAGUAAUAAGUUUCUUUCUAAGAAAAUUAUUUUAGGACAUUUUAUUAAUUUAUAUUAAAUUUUUUAUUGAACUUGUUUGAAGAAAUCAAUUUUAAAACAUGGUUUAGAGCUAGAACAUAUAAACCUAGUGAGAUUUUGAGUCUAAUUGAUUGGUUGCAUUUCUUCAACCAAUAUUUUAUUUCGGUGUGUGUUGUUCUCUCUAAGAUUGUGAUAUUUGACUUGCUUAAUUCUAUAUAUCCGUUGUUUAAUAUAUGAAUGUAUUUAUGUGAUUGAGGCAUUUGUUUCACUAAAGUUCAUAUACCCAAAAUAGCCUUAUCCCUUUUAUCAAUCCUUGUAAAUCAAUGUUGAGCCUAUUUAACGCCCUUUGUUCUUUAUUUUAGCACAUCACUAACUCUAUGUGAAAAACAAUAAAUGUCCUUCAUUUGAAUCUUUGGUUAACUUAAACUAAUGAGAGUGUGCAUGAUCUAAGUGGGAAAAUUGGAGUUGGAAAUAUUUGAUUGGGUGAAUUGGGUAUUUUAUAAUUCUUGUUGAAAAUUUUAAAAAAUUGGAUACAUAUUCAUGUAUUCAAUACUUAAAUCAUAUGCAUUAGUCUCUUAUGUAUAUAAUAAUAAAAAAAUCAAUAAAAAAAGAAAAAAAGAAAAGAAAAAAAAAGAGGACAAAAUGUCCCAAAGUAAAGUAGUGAUAACAAUGCAUAUGUAUUGUGUUUAAAAACGGGAUGCAUGAGUAUGUAGAAAAAGAUAAAUAAUGGAUAGUUAAGCUUUGCAUUAUGGUUACAUGGUUGUCCUAGGUUAGGUGGGAAGUUUAGGUUAAUCAAAAAUUCAAAUUCUAGUCUGCUUGACCAAAUACAAUCCUACCUUGCCUCUAACCCCAUUAUAACCCUUGAAAAGUCCUCUUGAUAUGUGUAUCCGUGUAUUGAAUAUAUGUUGACUGGUAGAAGAAUAACAAGCCUUAGAAAGUAAGAUUAGAAGAGAAUUGAGAGAAUCGACCCUCAAACACUAAAGAGAUUAGAGUGCAAACACUUCUAGUGACGGUUCAAUACUCAAUCCUAUGUUCUCCGCUUUCACGAGCUCUCAUCUUGCAAGUUUAUUUAUGCUUUAAUUAGAGAUUUAAAUUAGUGAAAUUUGUUGAUCAUCAUACUAUUUUAGCCCUAUGUGUUUAUAUAUGUUCUUGGAGAUUGAUUUAUUUUUAAUUUAAUCGAGUGAGUAGAAGCAUUUUGCAUUAGUUGUAUUCAUAUAAAUAGGUUACAUUUCAUAAGUCUUACCAUUCCCUUUAUUCUUUUGGUCUCUAAUUUUUAGUAUGAAGAUAUGCUAAUAUUUAAGUGUGGGAAGAUUGAUAAACCACAAUUUUAUGGUUUAUUUUGGAUUGAAUUGAGUGGAUUUUAUCAACUCUUUUCACACUUAUUCAUAUAAAUUGCAUGAUUUUAUGAUUUCUUCCUAAUUAUGCUUUAUAGUUGAAGACAUGCUUCUAAGGCCUUAAAGAUGCUAAUUUUUAAUUCUCUUCUAUUACCAUUCGAUGCCGUGAUGUGUUUGCUAAGUGAUUUCAGGGUCUAUAGGGUAAGAAUGACUUAGAGGAUAGAAUGGAAGUAUGCAAAAGUAGAAGGAACACGAAGAAUUGAAAUUUUGAGAAUCUGGUGCUCGUGUGUACGCUUGGCUCACGCGUAUGAGUGACUUGUAGAAAGUUCGACUGGCGCGUUCACUCGUACGCGCGCGUGACAUGUAGCGCGUUAUUUCCUUAAAAUUUCACGUGCCAGCGAUUUCUAGACCUUUAUUGGGUCCAAAUCAAGCUAAUUCUGAAUGGAAAAAGACCAAAAGCUGAAGGGAGAAUGGAGGCAACCAAGCAUACACACAUUUACUUACUUUUUAGCUAAUUUUUGUUCAUAGAUUUCUAGAGAGAGAAACUCUUCCUUCUCUCUAAAAUUUAGUGCACUUUAAUUACAUUUUGUCUCAGUUACUCAUUUGGAUCUUAUUAGACUUUUAUUUUGUUGCUUGAAUUGUAGUUUCUAUAGCUUAAUUUCACUUGGAACCUUGUUGACUAUUCUCUCUUAUUUUGUUGGUUUAUGGAUCUUGUUAAUUUUGAAUUUCUAUUAAUGCAUUGAAGUUUCUAUGA